UACAGAGGUCCCGAGCGUUGUUCGGAUUCAUUGGGCGUAAAGGGUGCGUAGGCGGCGGGGCAAGUCUGAUGUGAAAUCCCGGGGCUCAACCCCCGGAACUGCAUUGGAUACUGCCUUGCUUGAGUACUGGAGAGGGAACUGGAAUUUACGGUGUAGCAGUGAAAUGCGUAGAGAUCGUAAGGAAGGCCAGUGGCGAAGGCGAGUUCCUGGACAGUUACUGACGCUGAGGUGCGAGAGCGUGGGGAGCGAACCGG
RNAcentral lists this ribosomal RNA (254 nucleotides) under uncultured bacterium. Its description in RNAcentral is "partial 16S ribosomal RNA". It matches the Rfam family "Bacterial small subunit ribosomal RNA", at positions 524 to 776 of the family's 1533-position model. The record is from RNAcentral.